This 274-nucleotide ribosomal RNA is filed under the name uncultured bacterium. RNAcentral describes it as "partial 16S ribosomal RNA". It matches the Rfam family "Archaeal small subunit ribosomal RNA", at positions 473 to 747 of the family's 1478-position model. The record is from RNAcentral.
AAACCAGCACCUCAAGUGGUCAGGAUGAUUAUUGGGCCUAAAGCAUCCGUAGCCGGCUCUGUAAGUUUUCGGUUAAAUCUGUAUGCUCAACAUACAGGCCGCCGGGAAUACUGCAGAGCUAGGGAGUGGGAGAGGUAGACGGUACUCGGGAGGAAGUGGUAAAAUGCUUUGAUCUCUCGAUGACCACCUGUGGCGAAGGCGGUCUACCAGAACACGUCCGACGGUGAGGGAUGAAAGCUGGGGGAGCAAACCGGAUUAGAUACCCCAGUAGUCC